This 74-nucleotide transfer RNA is filed under the name Candidatus Pelagibacter sp. RNAcentral's name for it is "tRNA-Arg". It matches the Rfam family "tRNA". Rfam says of the family: Transfer RNA (tRNA) molecules are approximately 80 nucleotides in length. Their secondary structure includes four short double-helical elements and three loops (D, anti-codon, and T loops). Further hydrogen bonds mediate the characteristic L-shaped molecular structure. tRNAs have two regions of fundamental functional importance: the anti-codon, which is responsible for specific mRNA codon recognition, and the 3' end, to which the tRNAs corresponding amino acid is attached (by aminoacyl-tRNA synthetases). tRNAs cope with the degeneracy of the genetic code in two manners: having more than one tRNA (with a specific anti-codon) for a particular amino acid; and 'wobble' base-pairing, i.e. permitting non-standard base-pairing at the 3rd anti-codon position. Lineage: Bacteria; Pseudomonadati; Pseudomonadota; Alphaproteobacteria; Candidatus Pelagibacterales; Candidatus Pelagibacteraceae. The record is from RNAcentral.
GCGCCCGUAGCUCAGCUGGAUAGAGCAAUUGCCUUCUAAGCAAUAGGUCACAGGUUCGAAUCCUGUCGGGCGUA